This 421-nucleotide ribosomal RNA is filed under the name uncultured bacterium. Its description in RNAcentral is "bacterial SSU rRNA". It matches the Rfam family "Bacterial small subunit ribosomal RNA", at positions 355 to 774 of the family's 1533-position model. The record is from RNAcentral.
UAAGGAAUAUUGGUCAAUGGACGCAAGUCUGAACCAGCCAUGCCGCGUGAAGGAUGAAGGUCCUCUGGAUUGUAAACUUCUUUUAUCUGGGACGAAAACGGGAUUUUUAUCUCAAUUGACGGUACCAGAGGAAUAAGCACCGGCUAACUCCGUGCCAGCAGCCGCGGUAAUACGUAGGGUGCGAGCGUUAAUCGGAAUUACUGGGCGUAAAGCGUGCGCAGGCGGUUUUGUAAGACAGAUGUGAAAUCCCCGGGCUUAACCUGGGAACUGCGUUUGUGACUGCAAGGCUGGAGUACGGCAGAGGGGGGUGGAAUUCCACGUGUAGCAGUGAAAUGCGUAGAGAUGUGGAGGAACACCGAUGGCGAAGGCAGCCCCCUGGGCCUGUACUGACGCUCAUGCACGAAAGCGUGGGGAGCAAACA